AGACUUUUAAAAAGUACACCGUGUCUGACCAAGCUGCACAUGUCUGACCAAGAUAGAUUAACAAGGUCCAGAUUUCUCCUCAUGCCUGAAACACGGCAGUGAGGCUGGGGGAGGGGCGCCCACCAUUGCCCAGGUUUGCUUAGGUAAACAAAGCAGCCGGAAAGCUCCAACUGGGUGGAGACCACCACAGCUCAAGGAGGCCUGCCUGCCUCUGUAGGCUCCACCUCUGGGGGCAGGGCACAGACAAACAAAAAGGACAAGCAAAUGCUGAGAGAUAUUGUCACCACCAGGCCUGCCCUAAAAGAGCUGCUGAAGGAUGCACUAAACAUGGAAAGGAACAACUGGUACCAGCUGCUGCAAAAUCAUGCCAAAAUGUAAAGACCAUCGAGACUAGGAUAUCAUCUCACACCAGUUAGAAUGGCAAUCAUUAAAAAGUCAGGAAACAACAGGUGCUGGAGAGGAUGUGGAGAAAUAGGAACACUUUUACACUGUUGGUGGGACUGUAAACUAGUUCAACCAUUGUGGAAGUCAGUGUGGUGAUUCCUCAGGGAUCUAGAAUUAGAAAUACCAUUUGACCC
RNAcentral lists this long non-coding RNA (578 nucleotides) under Pan troglodytes (chimpanzee). Its description in RNAcentral is "long non-coding RNA NONPTRT002601". Lineage: Eukaryota; Metazoa; Chordata; Mammalia; Primates; Hominidae. The record is from RNAcentral.